CCUACNGGUCGCACCAGUGGGGAAUAUUGCACAAUGGGCGCAAGCCUGAUGCAGCCAUGCCGCGUGUAUGAAGAAGGCCUUCGGGUUGUAAAGUACUUUCAGCGGGGANGAAGGGAGUAAANUUAAUACCUUUGCUCAUUGACGUUACCCGCAGAAGAAGCACCGGCUAACUCCGUGCCAGCAGCCGCGGUAAUACGGAGGGUGCAAGCGUUAAUCGGAAUUACUGGGCGUAAAGCGCACGCAGGCGGUUUGUUAAGUCAGAUGUGAAAUCCCCGGGCUCAACCUGGGAACUGCAUCUGAUACUGGCAAGCUUGAGUCUCGUAGAGGGGGGUAGAAUUCCAGGUGUAGCGGUGAAAUGCGUAGAGAUCUGGAGGAAUACCGGUGGCGAAGGCGGCCCCCUGGACGAAGACUGACGCUCAGGUGCGAAAGCGUGGGGAGCAAACAGGAUUAGAUACCCGGGUAGUC
RNAcentral lists this ribosomal RNA (465 nucleotides) under uncultured bacterium. Its description in RNAcentral is "bacterial SSU rRNA". It matches the Rfam family "Bacterial small subunit ribosomal RNA", at positions 338 to 795 of the family's 1533-position model. The record is from RNAcentral.